GUGAAAGUGUUCGCUUUGUUUAAACUGUAACGAGAAGAGGGAAGGAAAGAGGAAGAGAGAGGAAACGGGAAGUCUUCUACACGUGGACUGUCGACAAUUAAUUUAAGAGGAACUUCUCUUACAGUGUUUUUCAACUCAGACUGAAGAUGAGUGGUUAUGAGGAAGAGGAGGACAGAGCAGAGUCUCCAGUGUUUAGCUGUCUGUCUCUGAAGAGUGACUGGUCCAAAGAAGAGCCUCCAAACUUCAGUAAUGAACCUGGACCCUCACACACGGAAGGUCAGGACCACAGACUGAGAGCAGAGUCUCCAGGGUCCAUCUGUGUGUCUCUGAAGAGUGAC
Molecule: long non-coding RNA, 338 nt
Organism: Limanda limanda (common dab)
Lineage: Eukaryota; Metazoa; Chordata; Actinopteri; Pleuronectiformes; Pleuronectidae
Exons: 3
Source: RefSeq, a predicted model, not a curated record